AGAGUUUGAUCAUGGCUCAGAACGAACGCUGGCGGCGUGCUUAAUACAUGCAAGUCGUGCGAGAAAGCCUUACUUCGGUUUGGCGAGUAAAGCGGCGAACGGGUGAGUAACACGUGGAAAAUCUGCCCUCGGAUCUGGGAUAAUCCUUCGAAAAGGGGGUCUAAUACCGGAUAACACCGCGAGAUGGCAUCAUCUUGCGUUCAAAGGCGGGGCAACCUGCCGUCAGGGGAUGAUUCCGCGCUCCAUUAGCUUGUUGGUAAGGUAACGGCUUACCAAGGCUACGAUGGAUAGCCGGCCUGAGAGGGUGAUCGGCCACACUGGGACUGAGAUACGGCCCAGACUCCUACGGGAGGCAGCAGUAGGGAAUAUUGCGCAAUGGACGCAAGUCUGACGCAGCAACGCCGCGUGGGUGAUGAAGCUCCUUGGAGUGUAAAACCCUGUCAGUGGGGAAGAAACGUGCGAGGAGUAACUGCCUCGUACUUGACGGUACCCACAGAGGAAGUCCCGGCUAACUCCGUGCCAGCAGCCGCGGUAAUACGGGGGGGACAAGCGUUGUUCGGAUUUACUGGGCGUAAAGGGCGCGUAGGCGGACCUCUAAGUCGGGUGUGAAACCUGUUGGCUUAACUGACAGCCUGCACUCGAUACUGGAGGCCUUGAGUACGGAAGAGGAGAGUGGAAUUCCAGGUGUAGCGGUGAAAUGCGUAGAUAUCUGGAAGAACACCAGUAGCGAAGGCGGCUCUCUGGUCCGAUACUGACGCUCAAGCGCGAAGGCUUGGGGAGCAAACAGGAUUAGAUACCCUAGUAGUCC
RNAcentral lists this ribosomal RNA (808 nucleotides) under uncultured bacterium. Its description in RNAcentral is "bacterial SSU rRNA". It matches the Rfam family "Bacterial small subunit ribosomal RNA", at positions 8 to 796 of the family's 1533-position model. The record is from RNAcentral.